Molecule: long non-coding RNA, 2454 nt
Filed under: Erythranthe guttata (spotted monkey flower)
Lineage: Eukaryota; Viridiplantae; Streptophyta; Magnoliopsida; Lamiales; Phrymaceae
Description: long non-coding RNA (EGUT_LNC001158)
Source: RNAcentral
UCCCCAAACAUUACCAGCAGCAUCAACUCCGACAACUUGUGGGGGAGCCACUGCAAAUCCACCGCCAGCAUCACCGCCAAUAACUUCAGGUGGGAUCACUGAAAAUCCACCACCGGAUGUGGCAUUACCUCCAACUAGCGGACCACCGAAUACUUGAGGCCCAACCGAAAAUCCACCAACAGCAUAGGGAUAAAAAUGAGGCACACAGAAACUUUCCGGAUAGCCACCAUUUCCAUAAUACGCAGGUGGAUAUACGUUACCUGUGUUUACGUAUUGACCGCUAUAUGGGAUUGGAGCUGCAUAUAAAUAUAAAUAUAAAUCAUUAAACAAUAUAUAUACACACACACACACACACACACACACACAAUUUUGACACUUUGCAUCAUCGAAACAAAUUAAUUCAAUUUACACCUCAAAACACAAUAAAUCAUGCAUACUGCACCCAAAUGAAUUUUUAUAGCUAAUAAGGGUAAUUUAAUAUUUUCACUGGUAUUUUUUAGGAUGACAAAUGUCAAAUCAUUUUUUUAUUCAAUCAAUCAUUUUGAAACUAUAAAGUCCAAAAAUUAUAAAUACAUCUCAUUAACAUAUUUAAAAAUUAUAUUUUUUUAUCACAAACAAUCUUUUACGAAAAACACACAUAAUAUAUAUAUAUAUAUAUAUAUAUAUAUAUAUAUAUAUAUAUAUAUAUAUAUAUAUAUAUAUAUAUAUAUAUGAGAACGAUAAUGAAAAAGGGUUUUAGAUGGAAAACUAAUAUAAAAACGGGAAAAAUGUUACCGUUAGCCCUCAUCUCAGCAUUCAACACCUCAGUGCGCAACUUUUCGACUUCAGCAGACAAGCCGAUUAGGUCUUUCUCCAAAGUCUUCAUUUGUUCCACUUUUUCUGUGUUUACGCCUUUUUCAUGUUCAAACGUCUUGCUUCAUUUUCACAACCCAAAAAAAUAAAAUAAAAAAAAAGAGUCGAAAGUAAGUAUAAUAAAAGGAACACCGAACAUAAAUUCAUAACGUAUAUCAAAGACGUAUCACAAAAGAAACACGAAAGUAAAUUGAAAAAUCAUUUCUUUACUAUAUUAUAUAACGAAAAAAAAUGCUUAUUUCACUUACCGUAACCUCUGAUGUUCUUCCCUCAAGCUAUCAAGUUCCGUACGCAUUUCCGGAAUCUCCUUAACAUCCGCACGCAUUUCCGGAAUCUUCUUAACAUCCGCACGCAUUUCCCGGAAUCUCCUUACAUCCGCACGCAUUUCCGGAAUCUUUUUAACAUCCGCAAGAGAAUUAUCCAACUCUUUAGUCGCCAGCUGGAUCUUAUUAGUCAACUCCAGCGUCUCUUUGACCAAACCCCGUUUUCCAUUAUGGGCCUCUUGAAGUUCUUUCUUUAUACUGCUCCCAUUUCGGAUGUCGGCUUCCAUUUUUGCAAUCUUGUCCAACAAAAUCCUUCAAGAACCAAAUUACAAAAGAUGUAUUACAAGUUACAACACACACAUCCCGUACAACAGAAUAAAGAAAAAAAUUAGUAUGUCCCGCACAGGAUGGCCUAGCGAUUGGAGCAAAUAAGAUUUGGGUCAAUUAACCCAAGUUCGAAUACUCUUGUCCACGGUCGUUAGGUCAGCUUGUCACACAUGAUUAGCCUAAUAUAGUUUAUAUAUUUCAUAUGAUUUGCACACUAUUAUACGAGAAUACUCAGUGCACUUAUAUAGUUGAAUAGUGCACUAUAUAUAGUUGUAUACGAGAAUACUCAGUGCACUUAUAUAGUUGAAUAGUGCACUAUAUAUAGUUGAAUAGUGCACUUAUAUAGUUGAAUGUGGGUUCAUUUAUGACAAAAAAAGAAAAAAAAAAUGAAGUAUAAUAUGUCUCAUUCAUCUUUGUAAAUAUUACCAUUAACACCAAACAAAUAACAUUUCAGCCCAACAAACAAGUUCUCUACAACAACUGUUAAUAUAAGUUAUAACUUCAAAGAAAGUAUAAAACCAUUUGUGAAGAACUAUUAUAAUUUGAGAUGAUUUAAUUAACAGGUUAAUUUAAUUGUUCAAUAUCUUAUAGCAUAACAGCCUCCAAAUUCCUAAAUAAAUUAUCGUCUAUAUCUGAGGAGCACUGGACUUAUCGUACACCCCUCCCCAAACAUUACCAGCAGCAUCAACCCCGACAACUUGAGGGGGGGCCACUGCAAAUCCACCGCCAGCAUCACCGCCAAUAACUUGAGGUGGGACAACUGAAAAUCCACCACCGGAUGUGGCAUCACCGCCAAUAACUUGAGGUGGGACCACUGAAAAUCCACCACCGGAUGCGGCAUCACCGCCAACUAACGGACCAGCGAAUACUUGAGGCCCAAUCGAAAAUCCACCAACGGCAUACGGAUAAAAAUGAGGCAUACUGAAACUUUCCGGAUAGCCACCAUUUCCAUAAUACUGAGGUGGAUAUAUGUUACCUGUGUUUACGUAUUGACCGCUGUAUGGGAUUGGAG